UAAACAGAAACAGAUUCCCUUUCUUGUCACCUCUCCUUUGCUUGCUCAUCACCUUUGUGAACAGUAAAUUGAAGUCUUGACCUCCAUUAACAACAUCAUCAAUAUACUUCUAAUAAUUGUCAUAAAUGGACUGAAUUAUGCAAUCCUUACGGAGAAAAAGAAGUGUAGAACAACUUCAAUUGGUAGUAACAAAUGUAGUUUUAGUUCCUAUGAUGUAUUGGGUUUGGUAUAUGACAAGUGUUGCUACGAUUAGGGGCGUUCAACUGAUCCAAAGUAAAAGAGAUAGAAAAAUAUUGCGCUUAAAAAUUAUGCAUCGCUUAAUACAAGAAAGUGAUGUUCAUUGCAAAAGUGAACUUCGGGUUAAUAGAAAUAUUAUUUGUGUGAUGCUUACGGAGAUUGGAGGUCUCACUCAGAGAAAAAAAUAUGUCUUUUGAAAAGAUAGUUGCCAUGCUUUUGUACACUUAAUUGCACACUUUUUCAUAAGAAGUGGAGAAAUUGUGAGUUGUCAAUUCAACUUGUGUUUAAGGGGUAUACUUAAGUUGCAUGAUCAUUUGCUUUACAAGCUCACACCAAUAUUAGAAGAAUGUGAAGAUGAAAGGUGGAAACCCUUUAAGAAUUGUUUAGGAGCCUUGAAUGGUACCUACAUUAAUGUAAAGGUGCAUUCCCAAGAACGUGGAAAAUACCGGACAAGAAAAGGUAGCAUUACUAUGAAUGUGUUGGGUGUUUGUGCACCCAACAUGCAAUUUAUAUAUGUUCUUCCGGGUUGGGAAGGCUCUGCACAUGAUGUCCGUGUCCUUCGCAAUGCUCUUUCUAGGCCACAUGGCUUUAGAGUUCCUAGAGGUUAUUAUUAUUUGGUUGAUGGGGGGUAUACAAAUUGUGAGGGUUUUCUUGCUCCGUAUAGAGGGCAACGAUAUCAUCUUAAGGAAUGGACAAAUGAACAACCGCAAACUACUGAAGAGUAUUACAAUAUCAAACAUGCUCGAGCAAGAAAUGUAAUUGAGAGGUGUUUUGGGCUACUUAAAGGAAGAUGGAGUAUACUUAGAAGCCCCUCAUUUUUCACUAUUUGAACUCAAGUUCGUAUCGUGAUGGCUUGUUGUUUACUUCACAAUUUAAUUAGGAAAGUAAUGCCCACAGAUGAUAUAGAGAAAGAGGAUUUGAGUGAUAAUGAUUCGGAUGACGAUUUCGAUGAUGAAGUUGAGUACAUUACUACAAUUGCAACUUCUGAUCAAUGGACUACUUAUAGAAAUACGUUAGCUCAAGAUUUAUUUAAUGCUUGGAGGGCAAGAGUUAGACAAGGUACUUAAGAUGGAGGUGAAUACUAUUAGCCAAGAGGGAAGUAGUAGAGGGAGGGGAAAGAAUAAGCGCUUUUGAACGUGUCAAGAAGAUUCGAUGCUGAAAAAUAUUUAUACCAAUUGUCUAUUGAUCCUAAGUGGAAAGGUGAUGAUGGUUUUAAAAAGUGGUUUCAUGAGUAGGUUGGAAGAGUUGAUUAACAGUGAGCUUCCUAGUUGUGGUUUGAAGGCUUUUUUGCAUAUCGAUUCAAGAAUCAAACAUUGGUCAGAGAAAUAUAGCGCACUAGCUAAGAUGCUAUCUACUUCGGGUUUUGGGUAGGAUGCCGACAAGAAGAUGUUGCAAGUAGAGAGAGCGGUGUUUGAUGAAUGGGCGAAGGUUCAUAAGAACGCUAAAAGAUUGUAUGGAGUACCUUUUCGUUACCAUGACAUUCUAAAGGAGAUUUAAGCUAAAGAUAAGGCCACGGGUGAUUAGAGCGAGUCUUUUGUGGGAGCAAUCAACAAUAUAGAUAUUGAAGUUGUAAAGAAGCCAAUUUUCGUAGAUAGUGAUGAGGAAGAUGAUGCGGAUUCAAGAAGUCAGACAACUACUCACUCUAUACAAUCUAAGAAGUGUUUGAUCAAACAAGAGCACGAUAACUCAACAUCUUCAAAAAAAACCCAAGCUCAAGGAAUUAAAGGGUAAGAUAACUCUUCAAAGUGAUGUUGAUAAAUUGGAUUUUUCUCUCCAUAAUGCUACAAGUAAUUUCGGCAAAAUUUUUGAUAAUAUUAAUGCUAAUCUUGGCACGAUAGCUAGAGUGUGGGCCAAAGCCGAGGAGAGAGAGCAGAAGAUGGAUGAAAAAAGUAAAUAAAGUUUUGGAAGAGGUAAUGAAAUUAGAUGGUGUCUCACCCUCUGAAGCUUUAGAAGUAGUUACAAUUCUCAUUGCCGAAGAACACAAGCUCCGAAUCUUUUUUCAAGCUCAUUCAAACCUCAAGAAACAAUAUGUGUUUGAUCUUCUCAAAAAAAAGUGAAAAAUGGUCUUAUAAAAAUACAUGAGCAGAACAGUUGUCAUUAAUGGUUGUGCUUGUAGUUAGGAUGCUUAUUUCCUAGUUUAUACACUUUUGAAUUCCGAAAAUGAAAAGUACUUGUUAUAACAUAACAAAUUAUUAGUUGAAGUGUUGUAGUUCUGUUUGAUUU
Molecule: long non-coding RNA, 2460 nt
Organism: Amaranthus tricolor (Joseph's coat)
Lineage: Eukaryota; Viridiplantae; Streptophyta; Magnoliopsida; Caryophyllales; Amaranthaceae
Exons: 6
Source: RefSeq, a predicted model, not a curated record